RNA transcript from Dipodomys ordii (Ord's kangaroo rat), 748 nucleotides. It is a transcript of the gene named ras-related C3 botulinum toxin substrate 1 pseudogene, with no coding region annotated. The record is from RefSeq and is a predicted model, not a curated record. The transcript has a single exon. Lineage: Eukaryota; Metazoa; Chordata; Mammalia; Rodentia; Heteromyidae.
CAACACCGCUGGGGCCCAGCGAGUGGCCCAGAUGCAGGCCAUCAAGUGUGGGAGGUGGGAGACGAAGCUGUAGGUAAAACUUGUCUGCUGAUCAGUUACAUCACCAAUGCAUUUCCUGGAGAAUACAUCCCUACCAUCUUUGACAACUAUUCUGCCAGUGUUAUGGUAGAUGGAAAACCAGUGAAUCUAGGCUUAUGUGAUGCAGCUGGACAAGAAAAUUAUGACAGAUUACGGCCCCUCUGUUAUCCACAAACAGAUAUAUUGAUUUGCUUUACCCUCGUGUUUCCUGAAUUAUUUGAAAAUGUCCAUGUCAAGUGGUAUCCAGAAGUGCGAUACCACUGUCCCAACACCGCCAUCAUCCUGGUGGGAACGAAACUCGACGAUAGGGAUGAUAAAGACAUAAUUGAGAAGCUGAAGGAGAUGAAGCUGACACCCAUCACUCAUCACUUACCCACAGGGGUUAGCCAUGGCUAAGGAGAUUGUUGCUGUAAAAUACUUGGGGUGCUAGGCUCUCAAGCAGCCAGGCCUCAAGACAGUGUUAGAUGAAGCGCUCUCCGUGCGUUCUCUGCAUGCCACCCCCCCACCCCCGCCUCCCACUCCAUCAAGAAGCAGAAGAGAAACUGCCUGCUCUGCUCUUGUAAAUGGCCAUGCUCCUCCUCCAUCCCUGCCCGCUUUGUAUGCUUUGCUCAAAAACAGUGGAGACUUCACACUCAAUGCCAAGUUUUUGUUCCAGAUUAAUUCUCCAUAA